UGUGGUCCGGGCUGCUGUGUUCCAGCCUUCCCAAGGCUCCUGGUGUCCCAGAAACCCAGGAAAUCGAUGCUCGGGACUCCCAGAGAGGAUGGCAUCUUGAAGCUCUUAUCAGGACGUGAUAGCCUAUUACAUACAACCUGUAUGCAUCUGCUUGUUGUUCACUUCCCCCACUAGAAGACACAGAGCUCCUCGAGGGCAGGGAGGACUGAAACUUCUCCCUGAGAUUGUCACCAUCACCUAGCACCCCACACAGUAGAUGCUCAAUAAAUGACCAUUAUAUGGGUAAAUAGAUAAACAAAUGAGUCGUUUGGAGUUUCCCUGCCUAGAGAUCUUCAAAGGAGAGCAGAUAACCAACUCUUCUGUCUAGUCCAAAGACAUUAUUCGUCUGCCCAAAGGCUGAGGGCUGUGCCCAACGCUUUCUCAAGGUAACUCAGCUUCUAUAAUUAGAUUAUACCAAGAUACCAGUUCAAGGUUCUUUUCUCUUAUUGGCUAAGCAUUUAUUGACUACCGGCCAUGUCCAAGGUACUGAGCCAUUGUUCUCUAAAUCUAUUAGAGAUCCUAUUCUAUUAUUUAAUUGUAUGACUCCAUGUUGACAUAAAAUGCAAUAGCGUCCCCACCGCAGUCACUCGUAGGUGAGGUCGGUCAAGGCAGAUGGGGAAGAAUCAGCAUCGUCUAAUCUAAAUGGAUAAGCUAGCACAGUGGGUUCCCCUGUGUUAAUAUUCCAGACCAUCCAGUCCCACUCAGCCUCCUCCCAGCUAAUA
This is a long non-coding RNA of Lagenorhynchus albirostris (white-beaked dolphin), 761 nucleotides long. RefSeq lists it as uncharacterized. The transcript is spliced from 3 exons. The record is from RefSeq and is a predicted model, not a curated record. Lineage: Eukaryota; Metazoa; Chordata; Mammalia; Artiodactyla; Delphinidae.